RNAcentral lists this transfer RNA (72 nucleotides) under Olsenella sp. RNAcentral's name for it is "tRNA-Ile". It matches the Rfam family "tRNA". Rfam says of the family: Transfer RNA (tRNA) molecules are approximately 80 nucleotides in length. Their secondary structure includes four short double-helical elements and three loops (D, anti-codon, and T loops). Further hydrogen bonds mediate the characteristic L-shaped molecular structure. tRNAs have two regions of fundamental functional importance: the anti-codon, which is responsible for specific mRNA codon recognition, and the 3' end, to which the tRNAs corresponding amino acid is attached (by aminoacyl-tRNA synthetases). tRNAs cope with the degeneracy of the genetic code in two manners: having more than one tRNA (with a specific anti-codon) for a particular amino acid; and 'wobble' base-pairing, i.e. permitting non-standard base-pairing at the 3rd anti-codon position. Lineage: Bacteria; Bacillati; Actinomycetota; Coriobacteriia; Coriobacteriales; Atopobiaceae. The record is from RNAcentral.
GGGAGGUUAGCACAACGGUCAGGGCAGUUGCCUUAUAAGCGACAGACGCGGGUUCGACCCCCGCACCUCCCA